AGUGAACGCUGGCGAUAGGCCUAACACAUGCAAGUCGAACGGCAGCACAGUAAGAGCUUGCUCUUACGGGUGGCGAGUGGCGGACGGGUGAGGAAUACAUCGGAAUCUACUUUUUCGUGGGGGAUAACGUAGGGAAACUUACGCUAAUACCGCAUACGACCUACGGGUGAAAGCAGGGGAUCUUCGGACCUUGCGCGAUUGAAUGAGCCGAUGUCGGAUUAGCUAGUUGGCGGGGUAAAGGCCCACCAAGGCGACGAUCCGUAGCUGGUCUGAGAGGAUGAUCAGCCACCCUGGAACUGAGACACGGUCCAGACUCCUACGGGAGGCAGCAGUGGGGAAUAUUGGACAAUGGGCGCAAUCCUGAUCCAGCCGUACCGCGUGGGUGAAGAAGGCCUUCGGGUUGUAAAGCCCUUUUGUUGGGAAAGAAAAGCAGCAGGUUAAUACCCCGCUGUUCUGACGGUACCCAAAGAAUAAGCACCGGCUAACUUCGUG
Molecule: ribosomal RNA, 492 nt
Filed under: uncultured bacterium
Lineage: Bacteria
Description: partial 16S ribosomal RNA
Rfam family: Bacterial small subunit ribosomal RNA
Source: RNAcentral